This 205-nucleotide ribosomal RNA is filed under the name uncultured bacterium. Its description in RNAcentral is "partial 16S ribosomal RNA". It matches the Rfam family "Bacterial small subunit ribosomal RNA", at positions 1300 to 1500 of the family's 1533-position model. The record is from RNAcentral.
GCAGGCUGCAACUCGCCUGUAUGAAGUCGGAAUUGCUAGUAAUCGCGGAUCAGCACGCCGCGGUGAAUACGUUCCCGGGCCUUGUACACACCGCCCGUCACACCAUGGAGGUCUGCAAUGCCCGAAGCCGGUGGCCCAACCACUUAUGUGGAAGGAGCCGUCUAAGGCAGGGCAGAUGACUGGGGUGAAGUCGUAACAAGGUAAC